UUUCCGUAGGUGAACCUGCGGAAGGAUCAUUAUUGUAUAACCGAGGUGCGAGGGCUGUCGCUGACCCGAAAGGUCGUGCACGCCCGAGUGCCCUCACACACAUCCAUCUCACCCCUAUGUGCACCACCGCGUGGGUCCCCCUUUGGCUUGUUCGGAGGGGGGCUUACGCUUUCACACAAACUUUGAAUGCAGUGUAGAAUGUAUUUUUUGUUUUUGCGAUCACGCAAUCAAUACAACUUUCAACAACGGAUCUCUUGGCUCUC
This 263-nucleotide unclassified non-coding RNA is filed under the name plant metagenome. RNAcentral describes it as "partial contains small subunit ribosomal RNA, internal transcribed spacer 1, and 5.8S ribosomal RNA". The record is from RNAcentral.